UACGUAGGUGGCAAGCGUUGUCCGGAUUUACUGGGUGUAAAGGGGCGUAGGCGGACUUUUAAGUGAGAUGUGAAAUACCCGGGCUCAACUUGGGUGCUGCAUUUCAAACUGGAAGUCUAGAGUGCAGGAGAGGAGAAUGGAAUUCCUAGUGUAGCGGUGAAAUGCGUAGAGAUUAGGAAGAACACCAGUGGCGAAGGCGAUUCUCUGGACUGUAACUGACGCUGAGGCUCGAAAGCGUGGGGAGCAAACAGGAUUAGAUACCCCCGGUAGU
This 271-nucleotide ribosomal RNA is filed under the name uncultured prokaryote. Its description in RNAcentral is "partial 16S ribosomal RNA". It matches the Rfam family "Bacterial small subunit ribosomal RNA", at positions 524 to 794 of the family's 1533-position model. The record is from RNAcentral.